UACGUAGGGUGCGAGCGUUGUCCGGAAUUAUUGGGCGUAAAGGGCUCGUAGGCGGUUUGUCGCGUCGGGAGUGAAAACUCAGGGCUUAACCCUGAGCCUGCUUCCGAUACGGGCAGACUAGAGGUAUGCAGGGGAGAACGGAAUUCCUGGUGUAGCGGUGAAAUGCGCAGAUAUCAGGAGGAACACCGGUGGCGAAGGUGGUUCUCUGGGCCUGUACUGACGCUGAGGAGCGAAAGCGUGGGGAGCAAACAGG
RNAcentral lists this ribosomal RNA (253 nucleotides) under uncultured bacterium. Its description in RNAcentral is "partial 16S ribosomal RNA". It matches the Rfam family "Bacterial small subunit ribosomal RNA", at positions 524 to 776 of the family's 1533-position model. The record is from RNAcentral.